UACGUAGGGCGCAAGCGUUAUCCGGAAUUAUUGGGCGUAAAGAGCUUGUAGGUGGUUUGUUGCGUCUGCCGUGAAAGUCCGGGGCUCAACUCCGGAUCUGCGGUGGGUACGGGCAGGCUAGAGUGAUGUAGGGGAGACUGGAAUUCCUGGUGUAGCGGUGAAGUGCGCAGAUAUCAGGAGGAACACCGACGGCGAAGGCAGGUCUCUGGGCAUUAACUGACGCUGAGGAGCGAAAGCAUGGGGAGCGAACAGG
RNAcentral lists this unclassified non-coding RNA (253 nucleotides) under uncultured Micrococcaceae bacterium. RNAcentral's name for it is "contains 16S-23S intergenic spacer region". It matches the Rfam family "Bacterial small subunit ribosomal RNA", at positions 524 to 776 of the family's 1533-position model. Lineage: Bacteria; Bacillati; Actinomycetota; Actinomycetes; Micrococcales; Micrococcaceae. The record is from RNAcentral.